Molecule: long non-coding RNA, 496 nt
Filed under: Olea europaea subsp. europaea
Lineage: Eukaryota; Viridiplantae; Streptophyta; Magnoliopsida; Lamiales; Oleaceae
Source: RNAcentral
CAAGGAUCUUCUUCAGACCUGCUCUCUUAACUUUCUCGCUUGCUUUCGUCGUAUCUUGAUCAUACUUGAUGAAGGCACUCUUUGAUAUGUAGGUCAUUUGCUCCAAAUGAUCAUGGAAGUCUGGUAUCUCUUUGUUCAAAUUUUCAUAAAGUGUCAUGAACAACGUCAGCAAACCUGAACAGUUUUGCUCAUGCUCGCCAAACAUCCUGAGACUAGCGAUAACACAGAUCAAAUACCUCCACCAAAGGGGGGCCUCUUUUUCUUCGUUGCCUCGCUUUAUGAGACAACUCAUAGUCGCCUUGUGAUCCAUUGCGAAGAUGUGUCGUAUCAAUUGCUGAUUAAUAAAGAUCGACUUAAAGUUGAGGGUCGAGUCUGACCAGGUAAGAGUCAAGCCCAUGACAUCGAGGAUGGACGCUGCUCCACCCGAGAGUAAAUUGAGGCCCAGUAGUCCUAUCUUGUGUAGUUCUUGAGGAUCUUGGCGAUUGCCCUGAUGAAC